GAUGAACGCUGGCGGCAUGCCUAAGACAUGCAAGUCGAACGAAGUGGUCUGAUGAAGAUAGAGUGCUUGCACAAAGUCAGAUUUAGAUACCACUUAGUGGCAGACGGGUGAGUAACACGUGGGUAAUCUACCCUAAAGACUGGGACAACAGUUAGAAAUGACUGCUAAUACCGGAUGAUUCAUAUUUAGAAAACUAGAUGUGCUAAAAGGAGCUUUACAGCUUCACUUUGGGAUGAGCUCGCGGCGCAUUAGCUAGUUGGUAGGGUAAUGGCCUACCAAGGCUACGAUGCGUAUCCGAGCUGAGAGGCUGAACGGACACACUGGGACUGAGACACGGCCCAGACUCCUACGGGAGACAGCAGUUAGGAAUAUUCGUCAAUGGGGGAAACCCUGAACGAGCAAUGCCGCGUGAGUGAUGAAGGUCUUAUUGAUCGUAAAGCUCUGUUGUAAGAGACG
This 456-nucleotide ribosomal RNA is filed under the name uncultured bacterium. Its description in RNAcentral is "bacterial SSU rRNA". It matches the Rfam family "Bacterial small subunit ribosomal RNA", at positions 28 to 447 of the family's 1533-position model. The record is from RNAcentral.